UCCCCAAAGAUUCACUUGACCCAGGACCAAACUCCAUUAAGCCCCUCAGACACUUGCUGCCAGCCAGGGAAUGAUUUAGAACCCAUGGCCAUAUUCUGUUCCUCUGGUUAAAGCAAUGCCUGGCUAAGAGGGCUGACAUCAUCCCCACAUACAGAAAGGAGGGAAGACGUGGGAGCAGAGAGGAAGAGGACCUUGAGGGGGAAGCAUGAAUGGAGACUCCCAAAGCAAUAGUGGGGAACCCAGCCAUGCAUGUAGUCUUCAUGCUCCCUAAUGGACUGAGACAAAAACAUAUCCUGAGCUUGUCACUGAUGCUACAUGCUUACAACUGUAACGGAGAGCCUGCAGCAGAGAUGUGGAUUUACAGAAACCAGAGCCGCUCAGUUGGCAGAAGGCUACGAGGAAAUGCAUUGCUUACACAUGAAGUAAGAGCUUAUUUACCUUUCUGUUCCUUAUCCAAAACCUAAAUUUUUAAAAACUAAAAACCA
RNAcentral lists this long non-coding RNA (485 nucleotides) under Mus pahari (shrew mouse). RNAcentral's name for it is "lncRNA (MGP_PahariEiJ_G0002344.1)". Lineage: Eukaryota; Metazoa; Chordata; Mammalia; Rodentia; Muridae. The record is from RNAcentral.